RNAcentral lists this ribosomal RNA (446 nucleotides) under uncultured bacterium. RNAcentral's name for it is "partial 16S ribosomal RNA". It matches the Rfam family "Bacterial small subunit ribosomal RNA", at positions 338 to 795 of the family's 1533-position model. The record is from RNAcentral.
CCUACGGGUGGCAGCAGUCGAGAAUCAUUCACAAUGGGGGAAACCCUGAUGGUGCGACGCCGCGUGGGGGAAUGAAGGUCUUCGGAUUGUAAACCCCUGUCAUGUGGGAGCAAAUUAAAAAGAUAGUACCACAAGAGGAAGAGACGGCUAACGCUGUGCCAGCAGCCGCGGGAAUACAGAGGUCUCAAGCGUUGUUCGGAAUCACUGGGCGUAAAGCGUGCGUAGGCUGUUUCGUAAGUCGUGUGUGAAAGGCGCGGGCUCAACCCGCGGACGGCACAUGAUACUGCGAGACUAGAGUAAUGGAGGGGGAACCGGAAUUCUCGGUGUAGCAGUGAAAUGCGUAGAGAUCGAGAGGAACACUCGUGGCGAAGGCGGGUUCCUGGACAUUAACUGACGCUGAGGCACGAAGGCCAGGGGAGCGAAAGGGAUUAGAUACCCCAGUAGUC